Labeo rohita (rohu) is the source of this 474-nucleotide long non-coding RNA. RefSeq lists it as uncharacterized. The transcript has 3 exons. NCBI's taxonomy places the organism in Eukaryota, Metazoa, Chordata, Actinopteri, Cypriniformes, Cyprinidae. The record is from RefSeq and is a predicted model, not a curated record.
AGCAUAUGUUGGUUUUUUCACCAGGGUUAGCUUUCUGCUAACUAGCCUAACAGUUUGUUUUCGCUUGAUAUUCCAUCCAAAUACAAAGAAGCACUCCAUAUUAAAUGUUUUGUUCGAGGGCAAACGUUAAUUUAGAGCUUAAAACGCUUUAAAAUAAGACAUUUAGUUUAAAUAUGCGUCGACAACAAAGACAUUUAGUUUAAAUAUGCGCUGACAAAACAAAACCGAGUAGCCAAAGCAAAUGCGAAGAUUAGCCUAUUAUUUCAAACACUGCUUCUGUAGGUUCACAGAAAUUGAACAAGAAAUAAGGCCAUGUGUUAUGGUAAAACUAGGCCAGUAGAACACUGAUGUCUAUAUGAAGAGAGGAAGUGCAAACAUAUUCCAGGAUCUGAUAUAAAUUGGGAGUAGAAACACUAAGGGGUUUUGUGUAUGAGGAUGCAACACUGUGGUCGUCUAGUUCUGGCUACAAGCUUU